Long non-coding RNA from Mustela lutreola (European mink), 285 nucleotides. RefSeq lists it as uncharacterized. The transcript has 3 exons. NCBI's taxonomy places the organism in Eukaryota, Metazoa, Chordata, Mammalia, Carnivora, Mustelidae. The record is from RefSeq and is a predicted model, not a curated record.
AGGAUCCAGUAGGGUAUGGAAGGGCUCUACCUGGUCCAGGGAAUGCAUUGGUGAUGGCAGAAAUCUGUUUCAAUGGCAGCAGGAGGUGGGAGACUGUCCCAGUCUCUGUGGCAUCUGAAGCCUCACCUUUGGAUAUCCUGGUCACUCUUCAUUGAUGAAGAGUGAUGAAUUGCCCACCUGGAGAAGUAUUCAAAAAGGAAAGGAAGAGGAUUGAGGGAGCUCUUGCCUUGAGGAACUUGACAGCCCAGCAGGGGAGAAGACCCACCCAUUCCCAUACUAAAAGGA